Dendrobium catenatum is the source of this 2258-nucleotide RNA transcript. It is a transcript of the gene named proline dehydrogenase 2, mitochondrial, with no coding region annotated. The record is from RefSeq and is a predicted model, not a curated record. The transcript is spliced from 4 exons. NCBI's taxonomy places the organism in Eukaryota, Viridiplantae, Streptophyta, Magnoliopsida, Asparagales, Orchidaceae.
AGACCCGGGCUGGCCAUCUAUGCCCGGUUUAAAAAAACUCGGAUGUAGGCCCGGUUCCCCUAAAUUCAUAGCCGCCCUCAACACCGUCACGUUCAUCACCGGAAUCUGUAAGGCACAAGCAGAGAAACAGAGCAAGCGGGAGAAAAAGCAGAGCGGACGAGCAAGAUUCCUAUUUUUAAAUGGCUGCGGCCGUUGCCUUGAGCCGCAGAGCUUUUCUUUCCCAUCUCCCUCUCCGUUUCUUCUCCUCCCUCACCGUAUCUCCAGCAAUCCUAUCCUCUCCCGCGGCUUCGUCGGCGCCGAGGCUGAAUCUCGACGACACCGAGCGGCUCUACGCGUCGGUUCCGACUGUAGACUUACUUUCGUCGCUUGGAAUGCUCUACACGAUGGCGAUGGAACCGGCGGUGGACCUGGGGAUGGCGGUGAUGCGAUCACCGGCGGUGAUGGAGAGGCGUGUGCUGCGUGAGGCUGUGGUUGGGGCGGUGCGCCGGACUGUGUAUCGGAAGUUCUGCGCUGGGGAGGAUGCGGAGGAGGCGGAGCGGACGCUUGGCCGGUUAUGGGAGAGGGGGCUGAGGGGGAUAGUUAAUUAUGGGAUGGAGGACGCAGAUGAUGGAAGUACAUGCGAUCGGAAUCUAGCUGGAUUUAUUAAGACUGUCGAGAUGAUGGCGAAGAUGCCGCCGGACUCGGUGAGCUUCGCCUGCGUGAAAAUAACAGCCAUCUGCCCCAUCCACCUCCUGGAACGCAUAAGCGACCUCCUCCGCUGGGAAAAAAAACACCCUUCCUGCCACCUCCCAUGGAAGCAAACCUCCUUCUCCAUCCUCACCAACUCCAGCCCUCUCUACCACACCCUCACCACUCCCCCACCUCUCACUCAGGAAGAAGAAGUCCAACUUCAACUCUCCUACUCCAGACUCACCACUCUCUGCAAGCGCUGUGCCGACACCAACCUCCCUCUCCUUGUCGACGCAGAGUACACGUCCGUGCAGCCUGCCAUCGACUACAUGAUCUAUUCCGCAUCGCUGGAGUUCAACGCUAAUGCCAAGAAGCAGCGACCGAUUGUUUAUGGUACCUUGCAGAGUUAUUUGAAGGAUGCAAAGGAGAGAUUGGUUCAGGCUGUGGAUGAGGCAGAGAAGGCGGGGAUUUCGAUUGGAUUUAAGUUGGUUAGAGGGGCUUAUUUGUCGAGGGAGAGUUAUUUGGCGAAGUCUUUAGGUGUGGUGUCUCCGAUUCAUUCGACUAUUCAGGAGACGCACACUUGUUAUAAUGAUUGCGCGGCUUUUUUGCUCGAGAGGAUGGUGAAGGGAUCGGCUUCGGUUGUUCUCGCCACCCACAAUCUUGAAACAGGUGAGCUUCAUUAGCGUGAAAAUAACAGCCAUGUGCCCCAUCCACCUCCUAGAACGCAUAAGCGACCUCCUCCGCUGGGAAAAGAAACACCCUUUCUGCCACCUCUCAUGGAAGCAAACCUCCUUCUCCAUCCUCACCAACUUGAGCCCUCUCUACCACACCCUCACUACUCCCCCACCUCUCACUUAGGAAGAAGAACUCCAACUUCAACUCUCCCACUCCAGACUCGCCACUCUUUGCAAGCGCUGCGCCGACACCAACCUCCCUCUCCUGAUCGCUGCAGAGUACACGUCCGUGCAACCUGCCAUAGACUACAUGAUAUAUUCCGCAUCGCUGGAGUUCAACGCUAAUGCAAAGAAGCAGCGACCGAUUGUUUAUAAUACCUUGCUGAGUUAUUUGAAGGAUGGAAAGGAGAGAUUGGUUCAGGUUGUGGAUGCGGCAGAGCGGGCGGGGAUUUCGAUCGGAUUUAAGCUGGUGAGAGGGGCUUAUUUAUCGAGGGAGAGUUAUUUGGCGAAGUCUUUAGGCGUGGCGUCUCCGAUUCAUUCGACUAUUCAGGAGACGCACGCUUGUUAUAAUGAUUGUGCUGCUUUUUUGCUCGAGAGGAUGGUGAAGGGAUCGGCUUCGGUUGUUCUCGCCACCCACAAUCUUGAAUCAGGAAGGAACUUAAAAGAAGGCUAAAGGCUGCUGUUAUGGGGAAGUAGUUAUUGCAAUGAAGCCCAAGGCUGUUGGUUUAGGUGGAUAUCUGCUGUCUUUCUGCUUGUAAAUGAAGGGGAAUGAGGUAUGUGUUGGUGGAAGAUCAUGAUGUUUGUAUUGUUAUUGACACUAUCGAUCUGCUGUCAAAAUAACAGUAAUGUGACAAUAAAUUGUGCUCAAUUAUUAGCAUAUCUAGUUAAAAUUUUGAAGUAGUUGUUAGAAAAUAA